AGAUUGAACGCUGGCGGCAGGCCUAACACGUGCAAGUCGAGCGGUAGAGAGGUGCUUGCACCUCUUGAGAGCGGCGGACGGGUGAGUAAUGCCUAGGAAUCUGCCUAGUGGUGGGGGAUAACGUUCGGAAACGGACGCUAAUACCGCAUACGUCCUACGGGAGAAAGCGGGGGACCUUCGGGCCUCGCGCCAUUAGAUGAGCCUAGGUCAGAUUAGCUAGUUGGUGAGGUAAAGGCUCACCAAGGCGACGAUCUGUAGCUGGUUUGAGAGGACGACCAGCCACACUGGGACUGAGACACGGCCCAGACUCCUACGGGAGGCAGCAGUGGGAAUUUGGACAAUGGGGAACCUGAUCAGCCAUCCCGCGUGUGCGAUGAAGGCCUUCGGUUGUAAGCACUUUGGCAGGGUAAGAAACGGCGUGCCCUAAGUACGGACGUCACGUGACGGUACCUGCAGAAUAACGACUACCGGCUAACUACGUAGACCAGCAGCCGCGUAAC
Molecule: ribosomal RNA, 500 nt
Filed under: uncultured soil bacterium
Lineage: Bacteria
Description: bacterial SSU rRNA
Rfam family: Bacterial small subunit ribosomal RNA
Source: RNAcentral